CCCCACCGCACUUCUCUCGGCUUCCCCGCCUCCCUCAUUCUCUCCUGCCGGAAGUGCCUGGAAGAGCUUCCGGGUGGGCGCGGGUCUGAGGCAGCGGCGGCGGCGGCGGCUGCUGCUGGGGCGGUUGGAGGGGCAGCGGGGCCAAGCUGGGGCCAAUUGCCAACGGCUUGAGGCGGAGGAGGGCGAGGGAAAGGCUGCCACGGGGCGAGGGAGCGAUGUAAGAGGCCAACGCCCAGGGAAGGAGCUGAGCAUCCAAGAGCCUUGGAUGUUAAGACCUGUUUCCUAAGGUUUAACCCGAACAAGCAAAUACACACAAAGAGCCUAACAGACUGAAGUGACGUAAGAACUGAAGCUCAAGUGUCUUUUGCUUUGGCUACACAUUUCUUCCCGGUGGUUACACAAGACUGACAAAAGUGUCAAACACGACUGCAUAGCUCCCCCAAGGGAGUAAAAUUGUGGCUGUGGGGUUUCUUCACCUGCAUUUCUGGAAGAGAACAACAACCACAACAAUAAUGAUAAUAAUUCCCAUUUCUUCAAUGCCUUGGAAUUUACAAAACACUUGACUCAAGCCUGUGAAGGAGGCAAGGCAAGUAUCAGAUAAAGGUUAAAGGAAGUUGUGCCUUGCCUAUGGUUACACAGCUGGUAAAUGGCACAGGAAGAAUUGGAACCUUGGUUUCCUGACUCCAAAUCCACUAAACCAGGCUCACUGGAAUGAGAUAGGAGAGCUCACUUUGGCUAAAUGGAAGAUGGGCCUAUGGAAACAGAAAGGACCUCCGAUAUCACUUAUUGUAUCUUCUCUGAUGAUGACUGUUAAGAUUUGGAGGAUGGAAAAAUCAUAGGAUUGUUGAAUUUAGAACUAGAAGGUACCUAACAGCUCUAUCUGGUCUUAUCAUCUCUUUUAUAGAAGAGAAAAGUAAGGCCCAGAAAGGAGAAGAGACUUGCUUAGUGUCACAUAGUUACUAAGCAGGAGAGCCAGAAUUCAAACCCUGUCCUCUUGACUCCAAAUCCAGUUUUUCAGUGUCAUAGAGUUCCAUCUACCAAGGUAUCUCAUCUU
Phascolarctos cinereus (koala) is the source of this 1054-nucleotide long non-coding RNA. Lineage: Eukaryota; Metazoa; Chordata; Mammalia; Diprotodontia; Phascolarctidae. The record is from Ensembl.